Ictalurus punctatus (channel catfish) is the source of this 480-nucleotide long non-coding RNA. The record is from Ensembl. Lineage: Eukaryota; Metazoa; Chordata; Actinopteri; Siluriformes; Ictaluridae.
GCCAAAAUGCCAUAAAUGUAAAUGUGGUAAAGUGAAUGUAAUAUACAUACUCAUUUAAUGUACAUAAUUAGAAAUCUGCUGUACCCUAAAUAAGUUAUAAAGAUAUCCAUCCAUCCAUUUUCUGUACUGCUUAUCCUACACAGGAUCACAGGGGAGCCUGGAGCUUAUCCCAGGGAACUCAGAGCACGAUGCAGGGGCCACCCAUCACAGGGUAAAAUUGCACACAGACCCAUUCACACUCUACGGACAAUUUGGAAACCUCAAUCAGCCUACAACGUGUGUCUUUGGACGGGGUUAAGAAACCAGAGUACCUGUAGGAAACCCAGGGUUCGGAAGAACCGGCGGGAUUCGAAACCUGGAGGUGUGAGACCUUUGUUCCUGAGUUGUUUUGAUGCAUGGUCUUCAUGAUGCUGUUUGCUUCAGUAUGUUCUCUAACAAACUGUGGGACCUUCCAGGAACAGGUAUUUAUAUUGAGAUUAC